GACAGAGGGUGCAACCGUUGUUCGGAAUUACUGGGCGUAAAGCGCGUGUAGGCUGCUUCGCAAGUCGGAUGUGAAAGCCCUGGGCUCAACCCAGGAAGUGCAUUCGAAACUGCAGAGCUGGAGUCCUGGAGAGGAAGGCGGAAUUCUCGGUGUAGAGGUGAAAUUCGUAGAUAUCGAGAGGAACACCGGUGGCGAAGGCGGCCGUCUGGACAGUGACUGACGCUGAGACGCGAAAGCGUGGGGAGCAAACAGG
This 253-nucleotide ribosomal RNA is filed under the name uncultured bacterium. Its description in RNAcentral is "partial 16S ribosomal RNA". It matches the Rfam family "Bacterial small subunit ribosomal RNA", at positions 524 to 776 of the family's 1533-position model. The record is from RNAcentral.